AACGAAGUAGGCAGUACGUGGUGCUGUACCUUUGCUACUCAGGGGAGUAGGCGGCAGGGUUGAUGGAGAAGACAGUACAAUCCCAAAGGCGACCAAAUCUAUUAGAGAAUUACUCCAAGUUGGGGUGAAAACUUCUUGCAUUCCAGAAGUUCGAUGACAUUGAGAAGGUGAAUCACAGUAGCUAACUCAACGCAAGGAGUGCAAACACUUCAAGUGCUUUAGAAGUG
RNAcentral lists this long non-coding RNA (227 nucleotides) under Musa acuminata (dwarf banana). RNAcentral's name for it is "long non-coding RNA (MACU_LNC005304)". Lineage: Eukaryota; Viridiplantae; Streptophyta; Magnoliopsida; Zingiberales; Musaceae. The record is from RNAcentral.